This 205-nucleotide long non-coding RNA is filed under the name Elaeis guineensis (African oil palm). Its description in RNAcentral is "long non-coding RNA (EGUI_LNC036207)". The record is from RNAcentral. Lineage: Eukaryota; Viridiplantae; Streptophyta; Magnoliopsida; Arecales; Arecaceae.
UGUGGAAGUCGUAGUCAUUGAAGGACUUCUGACCUUCCAUCUGAAGUAGGAUAAGCUGACGAUCAAUCUCUUUGAACUUGCAUUCGUAGUCAUCAAGCUGUUGUUGCUGGAAAACUCUAGAGGUAGAACCCUCUGAAGAGCUUGAAGAUGGAGUAGCAGAAGGCAUCCAUGGCCUUUUCCCCUUCUUGAUACUAUGUGCAUGAGA